AUAGCACUCAGUUCCUGCAGCUAAUUGACAGUUGUCUGGAGUAGUGAAAUGAACACUAUUCCAUGUCUUUGCCCUUCAGUUUAGGCUAUGGUUACCAGACGUCCCCGUUUCCCAGAUUUACAAAUCUGUCCCCAGACAAAAUCCGUCCCCGGAUUUCAUUUAAUGUCUCCGGAUUUAUAUUUUAAAUUUUGUAGAUUUAUUAGUAGGGAAUGAAUGUUGUGUGAUUGGUUCAACGGCACAAGACACAUCAUAUGGGGAGUUCCGGCGAUGCAAAAUGGCAGGUGCCAUGGCAGCGAGCAGCUCCUGAAGCCAGCCAGAGCCAACUGCACUACCAGGCUGGCUCCAGGCUGCUGAGACUGCUGCUGCCACUGCUGAGGUGGAACCAGGGACGCCCAGUGCAUCAACUGGGGGAACUGCUGACCCCCUCCUGCAACCCAUAUCGAGCCGGGAGCAAGAGUGCCUGGCCACCCAGCCAACUGCCCAGCGGUGCUCCAGGGUAAAAACCCUGGAGCUGACACAGUGAGAAGGAGGAGAGGAGAAGGAGAAGGAAGAGAGAGAAAGAGGAAUGAGAAAAAAGAGGGGAGCCCUGACCUUGCUGUGCUGCUGCCGCCGUUGCCACUAAGGAGGAGAUGUAGGAGAGCACCAGGAGGGCAAGGACACGUGGCCAAGCCCAGGACCCACCCAAGCCUACUCCAUGGCAGCUAGCCCUCCAAGAGAGCAGGCCGGGGCCCAGAGGAAGGCCGUGUGACAGAGGAGACCCCAGAAGAGAUGAUAUUACUUCUUUAUUUAUUUAUUUUAAUAUUUUUUAAAAAAUAAUAAUUUCUGGGGAGGGGGGCUGGCAGAUUCUUUGAAAAAAAUCUGCUAACCUUAGUUUAGGGUCUUGUGCUGAUUCUCUCGCAUGUCAGGUGUGCACACAUCCUACCCAUCCACCCCAACUAAAACAAUACAUGCUGCAACUUAUCAAAACAGAGACUUGUUCACACAAGUGCCCAAGUUGCAAAAAAGAUGGUCUGGCUGGCAAAGUUUCUGAACUGGUGUUUUGGCUCUGUAACUCUGCAACACUCUUGCUUAUGACUGUCUGACUACAUCCGCCUGAUGGUUCAACACUAAACCUCGCUUCUUGCAUCAAUCCGUACCAAUAACAGCCAAACUCUGAAGCAGGGAUUCACGUCCCUCACAAAGCAUUUGAAAGUAGAAGACAGAACUAGAUGGAGCUUCAGUCUGAUGCAGCAGAAGUUAUGUUCUAAGGCUGACUCUUCCAGUAUACAAAUUUGUUUAUUUGUUUAUCAUUCAUGCAUUCAUUUAUGUACUGUUUUUCAAAAAUAAAAUCCUUCCCAAGGUGCCAUGCUCAUUUCAUAAAUUUCUAUAAUGAAUAUUGCAAUUAUCACGGAGACACCUAAUUUGCAGCAUAAGUAAAAAACAUGCACACCAUCUCUCUUUGUUGUUAUUGUUGAUGUUGUUUUUUAUGGAACAAAAUAUAAACGGUGAACAUAUUGUUGUGUAAAUAAACAUUUAUUUAUUAAAGACAUUUAUUAAAUAAGCAUACCAUCUUGGGAAGAAUUUAAUUCUUGAAAGGCAGUGCAGAAAUAAAUAGAUCAAUACACACACACACCAAUUUUAAGCACUGACUUAAUAGCUACUGCACAUGUCUUUCUCCCACAUCAUUCUUUCCUAGAUUACCAAAAGGGAAAGGUGAGUCCUACUGAUUUACCUAACUUAGUCCAGACUACAGAUAUAACAGAAUUCCACUGGAAACAGAAAUGGUAGCGGAAAUUCCUUUUCCAGGAUGAAAAUCAAUCCAGCGAAUACUAAUGGUAAUUGAUGUUGCACUUCCUUUUGGUUUACAAACAAUAUGAAAUUGAAUGGGGUGGAAUUAUGUAAUGUCAAUGUAAUUUGCGUAUCAUAAUUACUUAAUAAUGUAUGUAAAUUAUGUGAUGUUAAGUUCACCACAUCAGACAUUGAGGUGAGUCAUGUAGUUUGGGGCAGAAGAUGAACUGCAGUGGAAUGGAAACCAUGCAGCUUACAAAAAAAUGCAGGGUGGAAUAGAAACUCUUGUAUCCCAUGUCUCACCAGAAUCCUCUGUCUCAACUGCCCAUAUUUCAGUCACCUCACAUCUUUCACAGCUAAGUGUAGCUGCACUUCCAGUUUCUGCCACCGACAUAAAAGCAUCAUGUAGCUAAGUAUAAUUGUGCAUUUGGGAUUCAUUUAAUGAGCCCCAUAAAAUUCAUCCUUUUGUAGAAAAUAAACAAGGCGCAAAUAAUUAUAGUAUCUACAGGAGGCAUUUCUCCUUAUAUUGAAUUACACGGAAGAUGGUGAUGAGUAGAUAGUUAUAAGGCAGUAAACAUAACUUGCUGUUAAAAAAUAACAAUAGUCUAACGUGUGCAGUAGGCUGAGCCAAAGGUGAUUAGACAUUGACAUUUUACUCAUCUCCCCAAAUGUCUUCGCUCUUCACUUUAACAGUUUUAAAGGGCAGUUUGGAGCAGUUUCCUUUCUGGUCAUAAAGACAAUUAGGUGUUUCCUUUAUGCACUUACUUUCAAAGAAAUCUUUAUAUCUCCUGACCUCUGACAUUCACUUGGAAGAUUAUUAUUAUGAUUAUUAUUGAAAUGAAAAUCUUGGGGGAUAUGCUAGUGGAAUCUCCUGAAGCAGUAAUUUUCACAAAUAGUUUUCUGCUUGCUGGCAUUAAUGAAAAAGCAGGAGGGAAAAUAAUGCUUGUUGAAAAGUAAAAACAGAUACCAGAUCUAAUGUGGGACUUUAUUUGCAUCUCAUCCUAGGAAAGAGCUGGGAUGUUAUCUAACUUAGAUUUGGCAGAAACAGCAAAAAAUGCUGCUGUUUUGUUGGAUAAUAGCUUGAGAAGAGACCAGAUCCAGGAGCAGUCUCAGUGUUUAGUCAUCCAGCAACUGUUAGCACACAUGUUGACUGUAGAUUUGGAGUAGAGAUUCCAUGUUGCUGCACCCACGAGAGGCAGAGCAACCCAAAACCCUGAUUCACCAUCCUGGAGGGCAUUUGGAUGGCCAUAGUAGUGUCCCUCUUCCCAGUUCUGCCCAACAUGGCUUGCCUCUGCUGACGGAGCUCUACCAUCUGGAGAAAAGUCCAACUGGCAAGAAUAUUACCAAUGGACCCAACCAAAUGGAUAGUGGGGAGAAAUAACCAAUGGGGCAUUUUGAAGGUGGAGAGCUGGGGAGGCUGGUCCAACUCUUGAGGAAACAAUAGUUGGCAAAAGUAGACAUAGGGCAUUGCUGGGAAGGGGCACUGCUUGUGCUUCAAUACAAUUUCAUUCAAGAAGAAUAAAUGAAUGAGUGCUCUCCAUCCAGUGGAUCUUAGGGAUUCAUCGGUUGAAGGCUGGUGUGUGAGUGGUUUUGAUGGGCAAAACUGCUUGGUUAUUAUGGUUAGUCCUACCAUUAAGUAGAGUGAGGUAGGCACAUGAGUCAGUUGAUAUGGGGUGCCAUGGAAAGGCAGCAAACUGUUUAUAAUUUAAUAAGUUGAAAACAUUGCCAUUGAAGUUAGAACUCUUGGAGCAUGCUGUCCAUCAGAUUAUAGGAGACUGGUGUCUAGCAAAGUUGGGGAGGAAACUGUUUUGCAUGCUCCAAACCAGCAGUGUGGUUAGUGAAAAGACACAUGGAAACUUGGGGUGGUAUUCAAUUAAGUUUUACUCACGAUAGAUCCAUUGAACUUAGUGGACAUGACUGAGUUAGUGCAAUUAAUUUCAAUAGGUCUACUUUGAGCAAAACCCUAGUUCUAUUUUGAAAAUGCUUCUGCCCUAGCUGGUACCCAGAGUUCUGGGGCAGGCAGAUAUUUGCUGGGGUGGCAUUUGGUGAAAUCCCUCCAUUUGCAUUGCAAUAAGAAGCUGAACUUGACAGCCUUUUGAUCUUUUCCAUCUUUAUGAUUCUGCCAUAUAUAUCCUCAGAUCAUUUUCCAUAUCCUAUUAAUGGUCUGGAUAUGCAAUCAAUGUUUGAUGAAAGACUAAGUCAGUUAUCCUCCACUUUCUUGCUCCCAUGUUACAUUACAUAUUAAAGAUCAAUAUGGUCUAUUGACUGAGAAAUAAGGAGUCAGUGACAUUUCAUAUCUUUUUGAAUCUAAUAUUCAUGCUGCUGCUUCAAAUCAUGACAGGCAUAUACUUUCAUUUGGUUGUACUGGAAACAUUUUACAUUCCAAGUCUUUUUUUUUUUUUUUGUCAUGUCCAGUCAAUGGUUUUUCACUUGAUUCUUUCAAUUAGCUGACUUCUUUGUGGAAAGGUGCCAGAAAAAACAAUUUGCCUGGAUCUAAAUUGCAUUCCUCAGACUGCCCUCGCUUGAGAUUGAUUGCUAGUAUUUGUAUUCCACUUUUCAUCCCAAAGCGGCUGACAAACAAUAAAUAGCAAUAACAAAACAGAGCAUAAUAGAAUAUCACAAGUGCAGCAUAAGUCAUAUAAAUCACCAGUAAGACAAAUAUUACCUAUACAACACCACUGGGCAAAAGCGACAACAAUUUGACAUGGAUGACAAUGACUUUAGAGCCUGGUUAUACAAUUGGCAGCAUCACGCCUUUCACCGGGCUGUACCACUUCAGGAUAGGGAAGUCAGAACUAGCAUCUUAGGAAGAAGGGAGGAGGGAGAACCUGACUGAUAAGGUUGGUAAAAGGUAAAGGACCCCUGACACUUAAGUCCAGUCGCAAACGACUCUGGGGUUGCAGCGCUCAUCUCACUUUACUGGCCGAGGGAGCCGAUGUUUGUCCGCAGACAGUUUUUCUGGGUCAUAUGGCAAGCAUGACUAAGCCGCUUCUGGCGGAACCAGAGCAGUGCAUGGAAACACCAUUUACCUUCCCGCCGGAGCGGUACCUAUUUAUCUACUUGCACUUUGACAUGCUUUCGAACUGCUAGGUUGGCAGGAGCUGGGACCGAGCAACGGGAGCUCACCCCGUCGCGGGGAUUCAAACCGCCGACCUUCUGAUCAGCAAGUCUUAGGCUCAGUGGUCUAGACCACAGCGCCACCUGUGUCCUGGUACCUCAUGUUGGUACCAGGUUGGUACCUUGUGUGAAAUGAUUUGGGAGACUUUGACUGUGCUAGAGAAGAAACAAGAAGGGAGGGCAAAAGGUUUAAGAGGCUACCUUAUGCGGUGGCAAUGUAAAAUUAUC
Molecule: non-coding RNA, 5112 nt
Organism: Podarcis lilfordi (Lilford's wall lizard)
Lineage: Eukaryota; Metazoa; Chordata; Lepidosauria; Squamata; Lacertidae
Source: the annotation of a GenBank genome assembly